This 269-nucleotide long non-coding RNA is filed under the name Salvia miltiorrhiza (redroot sage). RNAcentral's name for it is "long non-coding RNA (SMIL_LNC010115)". The record is from RNAcentral. Lineage: Eukaryota; Viridiplantae; Streptophyta; Magnoliopsida; Lamiales; Lamiaceae.
GCGUAGCAGUGAAUAGUGCCCGACAGGAUUUAUGGGAAUUUUCGGAAAUUCGAGAAUUUAUCAGUAUUUUCGAGUUUUAUAAUGUAUUUGACACCUUAACUUAUAAAUACCCCUCAAAAACUUCAAGAAAAGGUUUCAGACUUUACUUUUAUUCUAUUUUUUUUUUCUUUUUUUCUGAGAGCUGCAGAGACAAACGGAGAAAAACUCAAGAGCAAGAACUGAAGAUUCACAGAUUUUCCUACGGUUUAUUUGUUGAAUGUUCAUCUUUU